AGAGUUUGAUCCUGGCUCAGGAUGAACGCUAGCGGCAGGCCUAACACAUGCAAGUCGAACGGUAAGAUCCAGCUUGCUGGAUACACGAGUGGCGCACGGGUGAGUAACGCGUAUGCAACCUACCUUUAACUAGAGAAUAGCCCGGGGAAACCCGGAUUAAUACUCUAUAAUAUCUUAGAUUCGCAUGUUUCUAAGAUUAAAGCUCCGGCGGUUAAAGAUGGGCAUGCGUGACAUUAGAUUGUUGGUGAGGUAACGGCUCACCAAGUCUACGAUGUCUAGGGGGCCUGAGAGGGUGGUCCCCCACACUGGUACUGAGACACGGACCAGACUCCUACGGGAGGCAGCAGUGAGGAAUAUUGGGCAAUGGACGAAAGUCUGACCCAGCCAUGCCGCGUGCAGGAUGACGGCCCUACGGGUUGUAAACUGCUUUUAUACAGGAAGAACUCCCUGAUCGUGAUCGGGGUUGACGGUACUGUACGAAUAAGCAUCGGCUAACUCCGUGCCAGCAGCCGCGGUAAUACGGAGGAUGCAAGCGUUAUCCGGAUUUAUUGGGUUUAAAGGGUGCGUAGGCGGAAAUUUAAGUCAGUGGUGAAAUCCUGCAGCUCAACUGUAGAACUGCCAUUGAUACUGAUUUUCUUGAGUCCAGUUGAGGUGGGCGGAAUGUGUAGUGUAGCGGUGAAAUGCUUAGAUAUUACACAGAACACCAAUUGCGAAGGCAGCUCACUAAACUGGCACUGACGCUGAGGCACGAAAGCGUGGGGAGCGAACAGGAUUAGAUACCCUGGUAGUCCACGCCGUAAACGAUGAUCACUCGCUGUUGGCGAUACACAGUCAGCGGCUGAGCUAAAGCAUUAAGUGAUCCACCUGGGGAGUACGAUCGCAAGAUUGAAACUCAAAGGAAUUGACGGGGGCCCGCACAAGCGGAGGAACAUGUGGUUUAAUUCGAUGAUACGCGAGGAACCUUACCUGGGCUUAAAUGCAGAACGACGAUUCGGGAAACCGAUUCUCCCUUCGGGGCGGACUGCAAGGUGCUGCAUGGUUGUCGUCAGCUCGUGCCGUGAGGUGUCGGGUUAAGUCCCAUAACGAGCGCAACCCCUAUUGUUAGUUGCCAGCGGAUAAUGCCGGGGACUCUAACGAAACUGCCGGUGUAAACCGUGAGGAAGGUGGGGAUGACGUCAAAUCAGCACGGCCCUUAUGUCCAGGGCUACACACGUGUUACAAU
This 1222-nucleotide ribosomal RNA is filed under the name metagenome. RNAcentral's name for it is "bacterial SSU rRNA". It matches the Rfam family "Bacterial small subunit ribosomal RNA", at positions 8 to 1231 of the family's 1533-position model. The record is from RNAcentral.